Molecule: ribosomal RNA, 492 nt
Filed under: uncultured bacterium
Lineage: Bacteria
Description: partial 16S ribosomal RNA
Rfam family: Bacterial small subunit ribosomal RNA
Source: RNAcentral
AGUGAACGCUGGCGGUAGGUCUAACACAUGCUAGUCGAACGGCAGCACAGUAAGAGCUUGCUCUUACGGGUGGCGAGUGGCGGACGGGUGAGGAAUACAUCGGAAUCUGCUUUUUCGUGGGGGAUAACGUAGGGAAACUUACGCUAAUACCGCAUACGACCUACGGGUGAAAUCAGGGGAUCUUCGGACCUUGCGCGAUGGAAUGAGCCGAUGUCGGAUUAGCUAGUUGGCGGGGUAAAGGCCCACCAAGGCGACGAUCCGUAGCUGGUCUGAGAGGAUGAACAGUCACACAGGAACUGAGACCUGUUCCAGACUCGCACGGGAGGCAGAAGCGGGGAAUCUUGGACACUGCGCGCCAGCCUGAUCCAGCCCUCCCGCGUGAGUGAUGAAGCCUCUCGGGUUGUAAAGCCUUUUUGUUGGGAAAGAAAACCAGCAGCUCAAUCCUCCGCUGUUCCGCCGGUACCCAAAGAAUACGCACCGCCUACAUUCGUG